This is a long non-coding RNA of Ornithorhynchus anatinus (platypus), 142 nucleotides long. RefSeq lists it as uncharacterized. The record is from RefSeq and is a predicted model, not a curated record. The transcript has 3 exons. Lineage: Eukaryota; Metazoa; Chordata; Mammalia; Monotremata; Ornithorhynchidae.
GCAAGCCAGCACAUCUGGGAAUGAAUACUGAUGUGCACAAGAAAUGCUUCCCACUUGGUGGAGAGGAGUCACUUUGGACAGGAUACUGUCUUGAUAGUCUGAAUCAUUGGCCCCGCUCUCAAUAAAGUACAGAAGAUGGAUA